This 5319-nucleotide long non-coding RNA is filed under the name Setaria italica (foxtail millet). RNAcentral's name for it is "long non-coding RNA (SITA_LNC000856)". Lineage: Eukaryota; Viridiplantae; Streptophyta; Magnoliopsida; Poales; Poaceae. The record is from RNAcentral.
AACAGAGCAGCAGCACGCAGACGAGAGACAACAGGUGUCGCCAUGGCCUCCCAGCUCUCCGCCGCCGCGUCCAUGUCCGCCGCCGUGCCGCGGUUCCACGGCUACGCCUCGCUCCGGUCCGUGGCGGCGCUGCCGCCGGUGAGGGCCGGCGGCCGGAAGCGGGCGCAGGGCAUCCGGUGCGACUACAUCGGCUCGGCCACCAACCAGGUACUGUACCAAGCAACCGACCCAGAGCCUUCGCUUUCAUUUAUAACUACAGAUAAAAUUUCGUUGGUAACAAUGGGGCAUGGUGGCAGAUCAUGGUGCUGUCGACGACACUGAUGCUGUUCGCGGGGCGGUUCGGGCUGGCGCCGUCGGCGAACCGGAAGGCGACGGCGGGGCUGAAGCUGGAGUCCCGCGACUCCGGGCUGCAGACCGGCGACCCCGCCGGGUUCACGCUCGCCGACACGCUGGCCUGCGGCGCCGUCGGCCACAUCAUCGGCGUCGGCAUCGUGCUCGGGCUCAAGAACACCGGCGCGCUCGACCAGAUCAUCGGCUGAAGUGUUUGUUUGGCUGCCUAUCGCUCGCGCCGCCGCCUAUGUAACCUGCGUGCGUGUGCAUUCGUUGUGCGCGCAUGCAUCGUCUCGUCCCAAUGAACAUAGCUUGCUGCUGCUUUUGGCCCCAGAGCCUAUCAGCUUCAGUAACCCACGUCGUUCGUACUUCUUUUUUUCAUGGAACAAAUCUUCAGAAACUUCAAAGAGAGUUCAAAUUCCUACGUAUUUUUUUAAGACUUAAAGUUCCUACAUAAUUCGGGAAGAAUAAGCACGUUCCAAACAGAGCCGUCUCUCUGUUUCCACCAAAAAGGGAUCAUCACUGGGAAGAAAAAGGAAACCAAAGAGUGUCGAAAAGACGCUGAAGAACCAAAAGAACAAAUAAUGCAAAAAAAAAUCAAGAAAAUCCGAAAGGAGCAACGAUAGGAGUCAGAAUUGGAAUGACAGUCACCAUAACAAUCCGCCAUCGACACGGAUAGUAUGACUGGGCGUCAGUGCGAUUGUCAUCAUCCCCCUCUCUUCACUCCCAAAAAUAUCUCUACAUAUCUUUUUUGAAAGACUUAAAAGUACCUACAUAAUUCGGGGAAAAUACACAAGUUCCAAUUUUCCAAACAGAGCCUUCCUCUGUUGAUCCCCUAGUUUCCGCCGGAAAAUUUUGCUAGAACAACCUUUUUUUUUGCGAGUUAAUUAGAACAACUUAACAGCCACCAAACAGGGAUCAAAGAAUCCAAUGGGUGUAGAAAAGAUGCAGACCAACCAAAACAUGUAACAAACACUGCUAAUUUUUUUCCAAUGAAAAUCAGAAAGGAGCAGACGAGGAGUCAGAGUUGGAUUGACAGUCACCACAACAAUCCGCCAUCGGCACGGACAGUAUGACUGGGCGUCAGUGCGAUUGUCAUCACCCUCCUCUCUUCACUCCCAAAAAUAUCUCAACCUUGUCAAAAAAAAUUCUUUUUAAAGCAUCUCAACAUCAACAACAAUCACUAGCAAGACAAACAAUAAUAGCCACGAAACCAAACCCCAGGCGAUCGACCAGCACGAUUGCGCUGAGCACAAAAGGAAUGGCGGCGUCAUUUUUGCGAGCUCUCAGGAUGAACUUGCUCAUGAACAACAGCUGGUCGAUGAAGAACAACGAACGGAGAUGGGGGGAAAAGAAAUUCAUGUCCAGGGCAUGGCGUCACAGGGAGCAAUCAGAUCUGGACACUGUCAAUCAGCACUAGUACAUGCGUCAUAUGGUCAUGAUAGAUCAUCAUCGCCAUCAUUUGGGGAAAAAAACAAAAAACAAAAAAAAGAGGGCACAAGAUUGAACCAACGAAAUCGAACACAUGAGAGGUAGAGGGGAAAAAAUCACGGAGGAACUACUCGUCGUGCAGAGAAGAACACUGAAACUGAACGGAAAAAAGCACAAGCUUGCGUUCCCCUUGCACUGAAGUUCUCGAUGAAGGAAUGAAAGGAUGAACCCUCCAAUGUAUGAGCAUCGGGCAAAGCUUUUCCGGUGGGUCCGUUUCGCACGUUCUGGUAGCUGGAGUGGUUUGGCAGUCACCGUCUUUACUGGCAGGCUGUGGUCGUGCUCUCUCGAACCCUGAAAAGCUGGCAGCCCUUCGCCGCUGACGCGUGUCCGCGAGAAGCGUCCAAGCGACGCAUGCUCAUUCGUGCUAGAGAAAAUAAUUCCCUAUUCUUUUUUGUUUUAGAAAAAAAAAGGUAAAAUGAAAAGAGCCUGGAGUGUGUUUUGUAGGCAGCACUUCAGAAAAAAAAAUCGACCCACUUUGCUGUAACGGAAUGGCUAAACAACAAAAAAAAGUAUUUUCGGUAGGCAUCUCACAGGCAAGAACUCAGAUGCGCCGUUUCAGAACUCAACUAGGUCCAAUGAGCACCUUACCUGAUAUACCAAUGGUACAUGAUGAUUGCUAGCCAAGGGGUCAAAACAAACAUUUGAGGGCAUAACUGUGAUGGAAAAUUCGUGCCCAAGGGCUCAGAUGCAAGUAUCAGCAGAUGAUUGCAGUCCUAGGAAGCAUCUGAGCGUGAGAUCGUGAACAAAAUUGGGUCCAAAGUGCCAGAGCUCGCUUGAGGAUGGAAUCGUGAAGAGAAACUAGAGCGGGAGGGCCAAAAAGAGUCCCGAGGGCAUAUCUGCAAGAGAAGCAGCAAGCGCCAGGGACCAGCGCGCAAAAUCUCAAAAAAAUUUGGACCAUUUCUCGAUUUGUGCGUGUCAUCCUUGCGCAGGGGCCAUGCUAAUCUUCUCUGUAUCGUUCCAAUUUUAUCGGAUGUCUCCGAAGAGACAACCCGGUGCUAGCGCCUCGGUUUAUAAGCUGUGCUUUCGCUUCGUGAGCAGCCGAGGUGGGACUAAUUCUUCGGCUUGUUGCCCCGCGUCGUUGAGCCCGCCAGUUCUCCCAUCCCCACCGAUAGACAUGGGCUGCGCGGUACUUCGUAUUGGGCCAUGGCCCGUACUUCUCCGUGGCUUUUUUCUUUUCUGCGAGGGAUUUUUUGCAACUACGCGACCAUGCUUUCCGAAGCGCAAAUAAAGUACGUGAAAUCUUUCUUUGAUGCACACAGACUGUAAGUAGAAAAACUUUAACAAUUUCAUUCAUGAAUGGGGAGUUCAGACACGAUAGAACAGACCAAUCACUACGUGAAUUCAAUCCGUGUCAGAGAUAUGGCAUGUUUUGCAUUCAGAUUCUUGUAGACCACGGGAUAUACUUUGGCUGGUGUAGAGUUUGUUGUAAUCAAGAUUUGCAUUGUUUGCUUAAGGCCCCGUUUGGAUCAUUGGAAUUGAAUUCCAUCAUAAUAAUCAUAAUUUAGACACAAAUUAAUUAAGCUAAUAUAAUUGUAUGUGGAAUAUAGUUGUAUAUUAUAGUUGGUGAUAUGGGAGAGAUACUUAUAUGCUGCACUUCUACUAUAGAGAAGCGAGUCUAAGAGCGUGCUAUAAGAAUUGAAUUCCAUUCUAAUAACCAUAAUCUAUAGAAUCAAUUUCCAUCUCCCACCCCAUGAAUUUAAGAUAGGCUUAUAUAUAAACUUUGGAAAGUUGUGGAAUGCCACAUUCCAACAUAAAUUAGCCUACUUCCAAUUCCUUCAUACCAAACGGGGCCUUAGAGAUUAGGUGUCUAUAUAUUGUAAAAUUUUUUGCGCAAUUGCGCAUCAAUUAUCAACACGCAACCGCCGUACCCGAGGAUCAGGGACGACCUUCUCCCACGCUCACGCGCCUCUGGAACUUUGCAAUCCGAAUCCGUGUUCCCCUCGCGCUCGCUAGCCGCUGUUUACGCGUUCUCUUUGCCCGAUCCCGAUCCGUGCCGGCUCAUACUAGUCUAUACAUUGCGCCAAGGAUCGGAGCUCCUCCUACAUACGUAAGCUAAGCUCGUCGCGACCUGCGAUGGCAAGAUGCAGGCACUACGGCAAUAACGUUUCGCCACCGUCACCGCCUUCCGUCAACGGAGGUGCUCCCUCACUGCUGCACUACGGCGGUGGCCAUGAUGAUGAUGACCUAAUCGACGGCGGCGGCAGCAGCGAUCGGCCGGCGAAGAGACCGCGUGCGGAGGAUCACGACUGCAUCAGCAAGAUGCCGGAUGACGUCCUGAUAGGAAUAGUCUCCCGGCUGACGAUCCGCGACGCCGUGGCCACCGGCGCCGUGUCGGCGAGGUGGCGGGACCUGUGGAAGCAGGUCACAAGGAUCAGCCUCCGCCCGCGCCACAUCCUGCCUCCCGGAGGGGAAGGAGACGCCGCCGCCGCCGCUGCCGCCGGGGCCUUAUCACGGGACGCGCGGCGGCUCGCGGGCGCGGCGAGCUCCGUCCUGCGCCAGCACCACGGCGCCGGAGUCGACAGGCUCGUGCUCGCGCUCCCGCUCGCGCCGUCCGUCCACGCCGCUGUGCUGGACCAGGCGAUGGAGUUCGCGGCCUCCGCCGGGACUAAGGAGCUCCACCUGUCGCUCGACAACGGCGAGCACCCCGCCUCGGGGGGCCCGCCGCCUUACGACUUUCCCCACUGGCGCUUCGCCGCCGCCGGCCGGCUGCGGAGCCUCCUCCUGUGCGACGUCAGCCUCGCCGCCGCGGCGCCGGCGGCGCAGCGGAGCUUCGAGGGCCUGGCGCGUCUGACGCGGCUCGGCCUCACCCGCGUCGCCGUGGACGACGCCGGCGUCGCGAGCGUCCUCUCCGCCUGCGCCGCGCUCACCGUCCUCGAGCUCAGCAAGUGCCGGCAGCUCGUCCACGUGGCCGCAUCGCACGACGGCCUCCUCGUCCUACGCGUCCGGAGCUGCGGCGGCCUGAAGAGCGUCGCCGUCGCAUCAAGCACCCUGCUCGAGCUCGCGUACACCGGCCACAAGGUCGACAUCGUCUGCCGGCGCACGCCAGCCAUGGUGAGGCUCGUGCUCUACGUGACCAACGGGUGCCCGCUCGACUGCGUGGCAACUGGCGGCGGCGGCGCCGCCCUCCCAAACCUCAGGCAGCUCUUCCUGCAGUUCCCUUCGCCCCUACACGCCCUACAACACGGCUGGAGAUUCGAGGGCCUCAACAAGAUCGUGCUGCUCUUCAAGACACCAUGGAGGAAGCACGUGGCGUCGGUGGCGUCCCUCCUCGCCGCCGCGCCGCUGGUCAAGGAGCUGCGCGUCGAGGCUUACAGCCACCUGCCGGUGCCGCCGCCGAACAAGCAGGGGAUCCAAUGGCCGAACCGCUGCUUGCCGAAGAAGCUCAAGAGCAUUGUCAUCGGCGGGUUCAGCGGGGAGCCGGAGCUGAUGGAGCUCGUCGAUUUCCUGCUGUGGAGGUCGCCGGCGAUGAGGAGGCUGACCAUCGACACGCACCGGCGG